Molecule: long non-coding RNA, 834 nt
Filed under: Homo sapiens (human)
Lineage: Eukaryota; Metazoa; Chordata; Mammalia; Primates; Hominidae
Description: non-protein coding lnc-HEY1-1:5
Source: RNAcentral
GGUUAAAGAUGGAGUCUAGGGAACAGUCGAGAGUCACGCAAAUGUUAGAGGUGCCCUUGGCCUCAUGAGUGGUCGGUAGAAGGCGGCUGCAAGGAGCCUUUGAAAUGGUGCCGAGUUCUUCCUCUGCCAGAAAGCCUUUCCUCCGCGCUGACUGUGUCAAAGGCUACUCCCAGAGCACUCCAAUCAUUGUUCAAUGGAAGACUUAAAAGAAGCCCUGUGACUCGGGCUCAAAUCUGAAUAAGAUAGUUUCGAAGGAGAAGGAAGAGAAGUUAGAUAAAGAUGAGAAUUCAGAGGCGGAGAAGUAAGAUGGUUCCAGCUUCCUACCCUUCCAGUUAAAAUAAACAAAAACGAGGGUCUUGAGUGUCUAUGAUUUUCAUAAGAUCUAUGGCGUUUCUUCUGCAGAUGAUCAACAGUUGCCUGCCUUGGACUUUGGAGUUCCCAAGAACUAGAAAAUCCAGGUCAGGAACUGUAUCUUUGCUCAGCCACCUGCAAACAGACUUGAGAACAAUGUAAACCACCCUCUGCAGGAUAUUGAUUCUGAUGGAGUAAAUGUUGAUUAAGCAGAAUGGUGUUUUUUUUUUUAACUGGAGGAAUUCCAGAUCUUUCCUUAGGCCUGUCUCUCCAGGGAAAUGAGCUCUAGCCUUAAAAAUCUACAGAAAACCUGAGUAAGAAUGAAGAUUUAUGAUGGGAGACGCUGGGCGGAAGACGGCUGGCUAUCUGGUGGGCUAUCUAGAAGCUCAUCUUUGUGUUAUUAGAGAAACACUCCCGCUCUUGACAGGAUAUGGUCUGCUUAUCACAUAAUCUUCUCAAGUUUCAUUCCCAUUCUGCUUACAA